RNAcentral lists this ribosomal RNA (612 nucleotides) under Mugil cf. cephalus ED-2022. Its description in RNAcentral is "partial large subunit ribosomal RNA". It matches the Rfam family "Bacterial large subunit ribosomal RNA", at positions 1809 to 2607 of the family's 2925-position model. Lineage: Eukaryota; Metazoa; Chordata; Actinopteri; Mugiliformes; Mugilidae. The record is from RNAcentral.
AAAAACAUCGCCUCUUGUUAACCUCACAUAAGAGGUCCUGCCUGCCCAGUGACCCCUGUUCAACGGCCGCGGUAUUUUAACCGCGCAAAGGUAGCGCAAUCACUUGUCCCUUAAAUGAGAACCAGUAUGAAUGGCUAGACGAGGGCUUAACUGUCUCCUUUUCCCAACCAAUGAAAUUGAUCUUCCCGUGCAGAAGCGGGAAUACCAACAUAAGACGAGAAGACCCUGCGGAGCUUUAGACGCCAGAACAGAUCACGUCAAAUACCUCUCUCAAACAGGUAACAACAAAUGAACCCUGUUCCACGUCUUAGGUUGGGGCGACCACGGUGAACAGAAAAACCCCCGCGUGGACUGAGAGCACAUACUCACACUUAUCAAUACCGCUUCUCACAACCAUGAGCUACAGCUCUAAAUAACAGAACUUCUGACCAAAAAAACGAUCCGGCAAUGCCGAUUAACGGACCAAGUUACCCCAGGGAUAACAGCGCAAUCCUCUUUAAGAGCCCAUAUCGACAAGAGGGUUUACGACCUCGAUGUUGGAUCAAGACAUCCUAAUGGUGCAACCGCUAUUAAGGGUUCGUUUGUUCAACGAUUAAAGUCUUACGUGAUCUG